AUUGAACGCUGGCGGAACGCUUUACACAUGCAAGUCGAACGGCAGCACGGACUUCGGUCUGGUGGCGAGUGGCGAACGGGUGAGUAAUGUAUCGGAACGUGCCCAGUCGUGGGGGAUAACGUAGUGAAAAUUACGCUAAUACCGCAUACGAUCUAUGGAUGAAAGCGGGGGAUCGCAAGACCUCGCGCGAUUGGAGCGGCCGAUAUCAGAUUAGGUAGUUGGUGGGGUAAAGGCCCACCAAGCCAACGAUCUGUAGCUGGUCUGAGAGGACGACCAGCCACACUGGAACUGAGACACGGUCCAGACUCCUACGGGAGGCAGCAGUGGGGAAUUUUGGACAAUGGGCGAAAGCCUGAUCCAGCCAUUCCGCGUGCAGGAUGAAGGCCCUCGGGUUGUAAACUGCUUUUGUACAGAACGAAAAGGUUUCUACUAAUACUAGGAGCUCAUGACGGUACUGUAAGAAUAAGUACCGGCUAACUACGUGCCAGCCGCCGCGGUAA
RNAcentral lists this ribosomal RNA (500 nucleotides) under uncultured bacterium. RNAcentral's name for it is "partial 16S ribosomal RNA". It matches the Rfam family "Bacterial small subunit ribosomal RNA", at positions 30 to 523 of the family's 1533-position model. The record is from RNAcentral.